AAAAUUCUAAAGUUUAAAAAUUUUAUAAUAUAAUUAUAUAUGUAUAUAAUUAUAUAUAUGUAUAAUUAUAAAAUAAAAUUUUAAAAAAUUAUAUUAUUUGUUUGCAUAUAAAUUAUAAUAAUGCAACAAAUAAAAUUCUAAAGUUAAAAAAUUAUUAACAUUUAACAAAUUUAUUUUUCAUCAUUUUCUAAAUAUACAAAUUAGACAAAAAAUAUAUUAAAACUUACCUAAUCAAAUUUGAUUACAUUACCUAACCAAAUUUAACAAGCUCCUUUGCCUCUUUGUACUUCACCGGAAUUGACUUCGCCCCGUGGGAGGGUGAAAUCAAUUACCCUAUUUGGAUAAACUGGACUUUCGGCCGUAAUAAAAUUACAACAAAACAAGCAACGGAAAUGAUAGUUUACGGCGUAAACAACUUCCCCGCACGGAAAUUAAUUUUUUUUUUAUAUACCAUAUGUCACAAUAUAAUUUUUUUCGCUUAUUUUUUCUUUAUAUUUAAUUUUUUAUCUAUUAUUUUUGUUCAA
This 524-nucleotide long non-coding RNA is filed under the name Ananas comosus (pineapple). Its description in RNAcentral is "long non-coding RNA (ACOM_LNC006217)". The record is from RNAcentral. Lineage: Eukaryota; Viridiplantae; Streptophyta; Magnoliopsida; Poales; Bromeliaceae.